AUAGUCUUUCUUCUUUGCCAGUGACUCGUAAAAUUUUAAUACGGAUGACACUUGGGGAAGGAACCAUCUUUUAUUUUUCCCCUCACUUUAUCCCAAUGCCUCUGCUGUAGUCCACACAGUGAUGUGUUCACAUCAAGGUUGCUGCAAACAGCUGGAAGCACCUGAAUUUCAGAAAGGACAUUCUGAGAAAACCAGUAUGAGCAGAGAUAAUGCUCCCCCUUGGGAAGGGGGGCAGGGAUGGGAGUGAAAGAGCCUUGAAAGAAUACCUGCCUUAAUCUGUGGUUGCUAGGAAUCACAGAAUAUUAUGAGCUGGAAGAGACCUACAAGGAUCAUCAAGUCCAACUCAUGAAUUAAUGGCCUGUACAGUCAUUUGGUGCUGUGAACACACUGCAGUUUUGCACAUCAGUCCUCCAGCACUUCUCUUAUCCAUGAGAACAUUCAGGGCUUAUUGAUGGCUUGUGUGAAAACAGGCUUUCGUUGGAGAAGAGGCAAAAAAGCAAUGCCACCAGCAGGCUCCUAACGUGACAUCACCUGUAAGAGAUGUAACAUAUCUGGGGGUUGGGUUGGUCUUUUUAUUUUCAGAAUCAGUAUGUCACAAACAUAAAUAAGAAAUAUUCCUUUGACCACUGAUGAUUUGACAUUACAACAAUAUGAGGGACUUGUAGAAGGCAAAUGGUUAGACUUGUGUAAUAAAUACAUUUUUGUUAAGCUCUAGGUGCUGGUUCCAAUAGUCUUUCUCCACAGAGGUGAUCCCUCCACAAGUGGAUGCUCAUGUGUAGUAUCAGUCUUUGACUUCAACAGGCUUGAGCUGUCCCUUUUAUUUAUUACCUGGUCAUUUUCCCCAAACCCAGCCAUCUCAUGUAUUUAUUGUGGGAAAUCAGCAGUAAACUUACCUUUACCUAAAGGCAGAUUAAGGAGAGCAGGCAAACAGGAAAGAGGAAUUGAAGGUUUGCUGCUGACAGACUGGUCAGGCAGUUCCCAAAGGCUGCUCAGAAAGGAGCAAGCCAGAGUGGUCAGCUGAGUGAGGUGACCCUCACUAUGCAGUUCAGCAGCAUGUCAGGCAUUGAGCUUACACUGAGGGUGUGGGCUUGAGAGUAGCAUGAUGGGCAGACACAUCCUACAGCAACAGGAAAGUGAGCCACAAACCAGGAGAGUUGUGUUUUCCCAUUAACCCAUAAAGAGCUAUGUUGCAGAGGCUUGGGAGCUAGGAAGGCAGGUGGAAAUGCCAGGAGCCCUGUGCUAGUUUCAUGUUUUGAUACCACAAAGAACAUGGGUUUUCUUUAGGGUCAGAGCUCAAGACUUGCUGUCACAGGGGGUGCAGACUCUGCCAGCUGAGCUAAAAUUCAUUGGCUUGGAUAGCCAAACUUGCUUUUUUCUUCACAGACAGCAGCUAACAGAGAGAAGCCGAACAUCUCUUUCUGCCACACUGAAUUUAAUGUCAAGGUCACCUGUGGUCAACAGGGGAUUCAAACAGAAUUUUUGGUGCGUGUCCCAUCAGCAAGGGUGUAUCCUAUAGAUACAGAGUGAGCUGCACCAGUGUCAGGUUUGGAUCUGAGUAAAGCUUCAGUGUAGUCUAAUUAAUGAAUAGGGCCUGGUAAGGUCACAGUCCAAAGCAGGGAUUUGGUUACAUAAAUUUCUAUGCUUUUGUUUUAAUAGGGAAUCUACACAAGAUUUGUUUGGUAUCUGAGCAACCAGUUUCUAAAGCAUCAGAAGUCUUUUGAUUCUGGAACAAAAGACUUCCGAAUACCCUCUCAGCUCUGUGUCCUUGGUUUGGUACAGCACAGUGCCACUUCCCAUGCAUGAACUGCAAAUGCUGAAAAGGUGAAUAGAUGCAGAUCCAGACUACCAGCUGGGACUUAUUACCUCCCAGAGUGAGUACUCAGUGCUGCUUAGCACCCUCUGAAAGGCACAGCAUUUGCUCAGCAGAGCUUUUCUAUCUGAGCUGGAGGUGGGCAGAGCCAAGCUCUGUGUCAGCUCUUCCCUCUUCUGUUUGGCUCUAGCUUGGAAAAUUACACCCUCACUGUCAGGGCUAGCAGAGUAAUUUGCUCCCCAUUUUUCCUCCCCCAUCAUUCAGCUGAAGUGGAAAGAGGAUGGGAACCCGUGAGAGUCGUGCUGUUAGAGCAGAGCAUUGUGGUUCUGUCUUUAGCCCCAUGGGGCUCAGCUAUGCAGUAGAAACACCUGCCUGACAACCCUGGGGCUGGUACCAGCAAAAAUGCUGUUUGCAGGUGCAGCAUGGACUACUGCAGGGCAAGGUCUGCUGCUAUCUGGCUUGUGUUGUGGGGGCCUGGGAGACUUGAGGAGUUAAAGACUGCUGUGGUGGCCAUGGCAGGGCAAUACUGAGCCAGAUAAGAAUAUUUGCAGAUAUUACUGAUAAGAAUGUUUGCUGAUGUUACUCUGGAAAAGCUUGACCUCAGAAGCUGGAAUUUAACUGCUCUAUAUCUCUCUGAACUGGCAAAAGGAGAUGUGCUGUGGGUUGGCUGUUCACCAUGUGGGCAGGGGCUCAGUACCACAGGCAUGUCUAAGCCUGUGUCUAAGCACAGCUGAUGCCAUGUGGUACCAAAGGGACUCAGCUUCUCACUGCAUUCAUGAUACAAGUGUUGAGGUGCUUGGCCCCAGUGUCUGCCUGCCCAUGCUGCCUUCCCAAAGCCCCAGGUACCGCCUUCUCUGGGCUUCCACAGGGGCUGGAUCUCAUGGAGGAGCUGGGGCUCAUCCAGUCUCUGGAACAGUGCAGGACAGCUUGGAUGCUCUUUGCCCAUUGCCAUGCUGGGAGUGUGCUUCCUGUGCAUCCUGAGAGCAGGGCUGGAAGUGCUGGAAGGGCUCCGUGGCAGACAAGAGUCUGGGGACAGGCUGUGCUGGAGGGAGGACUUUGUUGCUGACAGAAGGAGUGGAGGGUGGAGUGCCUCUCUCUGCACACCCAGUCUGGGGUGGCGACUCUCAGGAAGAAUUAUGGUCUCAUAGAGACCAGACUGACUGGAGCAAAGGAUUAUGAGGAUACACCUUGAGUCUUUCACCUAGAGCUUGAUACCACAGCCCUGGCUGAUGGGAUGGUAGCUUGCUGACCUGUCAUGAAGGUUGGGAGGAUGAUGGUGGAUGUGAAUUGCUUGUCUCUGGCCAGGAUGUUGUACAGAGCUCCAACACCUCACCUGAUGUUCUCCACAGUGAAGGCAGCCUGGUUGAUGGGUAUCUGGCAUUUCACUUUGAAGGAAAUUACCUGAUUUUAUCCUUCAGAAUAUUCUACCUGCUGAGUGACUCAGUGAGUGACUCACCUGCUCUGCUCUCCCAGCAGCUCUUAGCUCAGGGCUGUCUCAGAAGGUGUUUUUCUGUCGGGCAUUUGUGGUCUAACCACAGCCCUGAUGCUGCUGUUGGUGGGGAAAAUGAGGCAGCAGCCAAGCUGAGUCAAACCUUGGGCAUCUGAACGAGCAGGCAAACCCAAGGGAGUGCCACAUUCUUCCCACUGGCAUGAGAGUGUUUUUCCCAGAGCACUGAGAGCUCUGCCAUGGUUCUCUGACCCUCCAGUGCUUUCAGCAGUUUUCCUGGGCCCUUAAGGUCCCAGUCCUGCUCCUGCUGGGAGAGCCUGCAGAUGUGUUACCAGAAGUGAUGUGCCCCUCUCCUCACAGAAAAAGUGGACAAGGCAUUGUUCAGAUCACCUCCUUUACCAGUUGAGGAAUUUUAUCCAGCCUGCCUUUGGCCACAGCCCUGACAGGGCAUGACAUUAGCAAGGGACUGAAAUCAGUGUGAGAGUCUGCAUCCCUCUGUCUUGUCACUUGGAGUCACUAACCAUCAAGAGCUUUCCCUGUUGCAGGAGUGGGAGAGAGCAGGAGAGCACUAGCAGAUGGUUUUAGAGGAAAGCAUGUUCAGGAACUGAGCUCCUCAAGGGAUUUCAUUUUCUCUUACUGUGAGUUAGAAAUUACUUAUCCUUUUAGCCUUUGCUCUAAAAUGCUGUCUCAAACAUUGUCAGGAAAAUGACAUCACAUUAAAAAUAGGAGUGUGAUGCAGUAUGUGUUUAUUGCAAUUUACUUUCACUACUAAAAAGAAAAACCCCUAAUGAUUAUGAAAUAAAGCCUGAAUAUUAAGAACAUGAUGACAAAAAACACCCCUUACAUGAAAACAGUAAUUAGCACUGGGACUGGAACAAAGGAGCAGAGGGACGAUUUUGGGCACAGUUGCUUUGCUGGCUGAGAAAGAAGAUGGGGCUGCCCAGUCUCCCAAACAGAGUCAAGGUCUGUGGCCACUGCUGGGAGGAGAGCCCAUUUGCCCUCAGAGCCAUGAGACUGGGAGAGGAGCUGUGGCACUCACAGCACACC
Haemorhous mexicanus (house finch) is the source of this 4304-nucleotide long non-coding RNA. RefSeq lists it as uncharacterized. The transcript has 3 exons. NCBI's taxonomy places the organism in Eukaryota, Metazoa, Chordata, Aves, Passeriformes, Fringillidae. The record is from RefSeq and is a predicted model, not a curated record.